GUGGUCUCAUACUGGAAAGGUUGAUAGUCUUCACUGAAAAAAAGAUUUAAAAAGAAAAUUGAUACCAGCUGCUCUCUUUGUAACUCCACCCCUGAAACAACUGUGUAUUUGUUUUGGACGUGUUUCUAUACUGGAAAAACUCUGAUGAAGAAGAAGAA
Lampris incognitus (smalleye Pacific opah) is the source of this 158-nucleotide long non-coding RNA. RefSeq lists it as uncharacterized. The record is from RefSeq and is a predicted model, not a curated record. NCBI's taxonomy places the organism in Eukaryota, Metazoa, Chordata, Actinopteri, Lampriformes, Lampridae. The transcript is spliced from 3 exons.